This 256-nucleotide unclassified non-coding RNA is filed under the name Microstella sp. Its description in RNAcentral is "partial contains 5.8S ribosomal RNA, internal transcribed spacer 2, and large subunit ribosomal RNA". The record is from RNAcentral. Lineage: Eukaryota; Fungi; Basidiomycota; Wallemiomycetes.
AACGCACAUUGCGCCCUUUAGUAUUCUGAAGGGCAUGCCUGUUCGAGCGUCAUUAUCACUAAUCAAGCUUGGCUUGCUGUUGGGCCUCUUGUCGUUAAAAAACCGACAGGCCUUAAAAAUAAUGACGGCGUUACUUGGACCCUAGAUGCAACGAGCUUUCAUUAGCACGCGUUUAGUUGGACCUUUUAACUCAGUCUCUUUUAACCAAUUUUCUAAGGUUGACCUCGGAUCAGGUAGGAAUACCCGCUGAACUUAA